UGGUGGGUUGCCUUGUCAGGUUGAUUCCGGUAACGAACGAGACCUCAGCCUGCUAAAUAGUCGGGCGCACCUCUGGUGCGUUCCUCCGACUUCUUAGAGGGACUAUUGGCGUCUAGCCAAUGGAAGUGUGAGGCAAUAACA
This 141-nucleotide ribosomal RNA is filed under the name uncultured eukaryote. Its description in RNAcentral is "partial 18S ribosomal RNA". It matches the Rfam family "Eukaryotic small subunit ribosomal RNA", at positions 1299 to 1458 of the family's 1831-position model. The record is from RNAcentral.